Molecule: ribosomal RNA, 253 nt
Filed under: uncultured bacterium
Lineage: Bacteria
Description: partial 16S ribosomal RNA
Rfam family: Bacterial small subunit ribosomal RNA
Source: RNAcentral
UACGGAGGGUGCAAGCGUUCUCCGGAUUCACUGGGUUUAAAGGGUGCGUAGGUGGGCAAGUAAGUCAGUGGUGAAAUCUCCGGGCUUAACCCGGAAACUGCCAUUGAUACUAUUUGUCUUGAAUACUGUGGAGGUCAGCGGAAUAUGUCAUGUAGCGGUGAAAUGCUUAGAUAUGACAUAGAACACCAAUUGCGAAGGCAGCUGGCUACACAAAUAUUGACACUGAGGCACGAAAGCGUGGGGAUCAAACAGG